UAAUACGUAGGGUGCGAGCGUUAAUCGGAAUUACUGGGCGUAAAGUGUGCGCAGGCGGCCGCGCAAGUCGAGUGUGAAAUCCCCGAGCUUAACUUGGGAAUUGCGCUCGAAACUACGUGGCUGGAGUGUGGCAGAGGAAGGUGGAAUUCCACGUGUAGCGGUGAAAUGCGUAGAGAUGUGGAGGAACACCGAUGGCGAAGGCAGCCUUCUGGGCCAACACUGACGCUCAUGCACGAAAGCGUGGGGAGCAAACAGGAUUAGAUACCCUGGUAGUCCACGCCCUAAACGAUGAUGACUAGUUGUUGGAGGAGUUAAAUCCUUUAGUAACGCAGCUAACGCGUGAAGUCAUCCGCCUGGGGAGUACGGUCGCAAGAUUA
Molecule: ribosomal RNA, 377 nt
Filed under: uncultured bacterium
Lineage: Bacteria
Description: bacterial SSU rRNA
Rfam family: Bacterial small subunit ribosomal RNA
Source: RNAcentral